GAUGAAGAACGCAGCGAAAUGCGAUACGUAAUGUGAAUUGCAGAAUUCAGUGAAUCAUCGAGUCUUUGAACGCACAUUGCGCCCCCUGGUAUUCCGGGGGGCAUGCCUGUCCGAGCGUCAUUGCUGCCCUCAAGCACGGCUUGUGUGUUGGGCCUCCGUCCUCCUCCCGGGGGACGGGCCCGAAAGGCAGCGGCGGCACCGCGUCCGGUCCUCGAGCGUAUGGGGCUUCGUCACCCGCUCUUGUAGGCCCGGCCGGCGCUUGCCGACACAUCAAUCUUUUUUCCAGGUUGACCUCGGAUCAGGUAGGUAUACCCGCUGAACUUAAGCAUAUCAAUAAGCGGAGGA
Molecule: unclassified non-coding RNA, 345 nt
Filed under: soil metagenome
Description: partial contains 5.8S ribosomal RNA, internal transcribed spacer 2, and large subunit ribosomal RNA
Rfam family: 5.8S ribosomal RNA (bases 1-120)
Source: RNAcentral